Molecule: unclassified non-coding RNA, 359 nt
Filed under: Hevea brasiliensis (rubber tree)
Lineage: Eukaryota; Viridiplantae; Streptophyta; Magnoliopsida; Malpighiales; Euphorbiaceae
Source: RNAcentral
ACCAGCCACCAAAGAAAGAGAAGAGGAGGAAGAAGAAGAAGACGAUGAUAACAAUAAGAACGAUGACAUACUUAACGUUGAAGGUGGUAAAACUAAGGGACCAACUACUUUAUUCAAGUUGACAGCAGAAGAAGCCGAGCAUCGAGCACUUCAAGCAGCUAUUAUUCAAGAAUGGCAUAUGCUCUGUAAAGAUAGAAACACCAAAGUAAACUAAUUUUUUUUGCUUAUUUUCUUUUGAUAUAUUUUGGUUUGAUAAUUGAUUUAGAAGUUAGUUGAUUGAAAUGAGUUUCAAGUUUGUUUUUAUGUAAUUCUAGUUUAUUUCUUUUCUCCCAGUUUUGUAAUUUCUAUGUACCUUUUUG